Molecule: long non-coding RNA, 5018 nt
Organism: Mustela lutreola (European mink)
Lineage: Eukaryota; Metazoa; Chordata; Mammalia; Carnivora; Mustelidae
Exons: 4
Source: RefSeq, a predicted model, not a curated record
CCUCAGCCGCAGCACUGCCCUCACGACCGCCCCCCCUCCAGCGGGCUUGGUUUGCACGCGGAGGUAAAGAGAACAUUCAGGAGAGAGGAGGCCCGUGUAGGAAGCGGGGGAACCGGGAGAGAGCGGGACAGGGGUCGCGGAAGGGACGCGCCAAGCCACGGAAGGCGCCAUGCCCCGGGGGAAGGGCUUCGGGUCUCGGGUAUUUAGGGGACACAAUUGUCCUUCCUCAAAAAGGAUAAGAAACACCCAGGGUCACAAGACAACUCAGUGACAGAGACGGGACACGUUCCCGAUGCUGGAGCCUGGACUCCCCUCGAUGUUCUACACUUCUUGGUGGGAAACACUGGAGUUGCUUGUCUACCUCCUAUUCGAGAAAACUCCAAGACUCCGAUCACCUUUCCUUUCCUAUAAGGAGACCCCUAUCUCAGUGGUUUAAACCCUUCUGGCCUCCCAGGUCCCUCCCAUGCACAUGUCCACAGGCUAUCACCAGCUGUUUCCGGGGGUUGUGGACUUUCUGAAACCCAUCCGAAGGGCCCCGGUCACUACCUCCGAUGCUCUGGCCUCCUCGGCCUCAUGGAGGUGGAGCUGAGGCGAGCAGGAAGUGGGUCCUGAAACAGAAUGGCACGGUGGUCCUGAUGUGCCCCCGUUAGCCAUGCCCCGUGUUUAAGGGCCAGGGGACCAAGCUGUCAUUUCUGUACCUCGCUACCUGGGCAGAAACCUCCCUGCCUGGACACCAGGACGGAGAAGAAGGCAUCUGGGUGGAGAUGCAGGGAGUGGCCUCCUCAGCGGCCAGUGGGGUGGGCAGCGAGCAGCUCUGAGCCACCCGGGGCUCGGAAACGGACAGCCCGCCGCACCCCGGCAGCGCUAAGUCGGUCACCUGGGCUCCCCGGGAGCCCUUUGGCGGUGUGUGCUCUGCCAGCAGGUCAGCCCUGCCUGGGAAGCUUCCAGGGGCUCCUCUCUUGAGAACACCCAACACAGCCCCAGCCGGGUGGUGGUGUGGCUAGAAAGUACACGUCCUCUUGCCUGUGCCCCAAACCCCACAGGGAGUUCCUCCCAUGGAUGCCUUGUGCUCUUUUCCAGGCUCCAAAUUAACAGUCAUCUCCAACUGGAAACCAGACUUCUGCCUGGGAGCAGAAAGCACAGCUGUCCUGAUGGACCAGGGCUCGGAAGCAGUGACCCUCGAGAGACAGCGGGCUUUAGCUGACAGGAACCUGCCAUGUCGUAGAAUGCUCUGGAGGCCUGAAGAGGUUGACACAGAUACCCCUGGGGAAUUAGCAGGACCUUGAAUAAGCUUGUCUGCCAAACAUGCCUUGUUUUCUAGGCCUCCAGGAGUACCUGGCUUUUUCUGCCUUCUCGUUUGAUGCUAAAGAAACCAGCCAUUAUUUCACGCUGGAAGGACACAUUCCACUUGCCGUCUCCUCCUCUCCUGCCCCCUUUUUGCUGAGAAUAUGAAGACUCUGCAAACAGUCAUCACAGUAAAAGCAGUCCUUAAUCUCCCUAACAAUAACAAGAAUAAGGAACAUCAAAGUAAGCAGCUAUCUUAGUCAUGAGGGUAUUAAACUGUACUCGGCCUGGAUGUGCUGAGAAACCAGGACUCUCGUGUUUUGAUGACGAUACCAAAGCCUGAUUUCUAGGCAGCUGCUAGAUCACCAGAUUCCGAGCACCCGUGUGGAAUAUUAUCAUUUCCCAGACCAGCAGGGCCCAUGUCUCUGCUCUAGUAAGAGUCUUAGGUUACUUUAAAAAAAUUCAUUAUUAGGAUACCCAUGACAGGUGAGAACUGGUGUGGGUCACUGUCUGGACCUGAGGGCUCUGCGCGCUGGCCAGCAGGGCCCUGCUCCCUGGGCACCUCUGCUUCUCCCUGGACACCAUCUGGUGGGUGCUUCUCUGUCCCCCGCCAGCUUCGUCUACCUGCUCACAGACCUGCUCCCUCCAGACCUCCACACCUCAAGUCUCUGAUUCCCCUUCAUCACCGACUGCCUCUUAGCUCUGAUAUCCAAGAGCAAAGCGGAAUGGCCAUCCCAUCUGCUAAGGCAGUCCUUGGGUAGGGCCCCUUCGGUUCUGAUCUGCUGUGGAGAAUGUCUUAGAGAGUCCAACACUGGAUAAAAGCAGGCACAGCUUGCUUCUCCUAGGAAAGGUGAGCAUCUAAAAGACCGCAUAACACGUCCCCCAGGGCAGAAUUUCCAAUGCACGCUUUCCUCAUCCAAAGCCAUGGCUAGUUAUGGCCCCAGGAGCAGUAGGGCAGGGCCAGCUCUGAAACUACUUGCUCAUCACGGAGUCACUUCUGCCCCUGGUUAUGGCGAUGCUCCUUCUAGAUAUUUUUCUCCAUUCUUCAGUCCACUUACUAGCUGGUUACUGUAGGCACAGCUGCUAUUCCAAAGGACACCGGCAAGAAAGGACUCAUUGCCCGGGCAGAGAGCCUCCUUCUGCGCUUACCUCCUGGACCCACACGUUCCAGCGAUGGCCGGGGCAGCCGCAUCACAGCGACCUGUCCCCAGUCUGGCACUGAGUCUGCAGACACCAUCCUCGCCUCCUGGUGUUGGACCUCCGCCCUUAGAUUAACCACCUCACUCCGCACUGCAGUGACUUCUAGCUGCUUCCACGUGGCUUCUGGAGCUUCUGCGUGCUGGACGCUUAUGCAGCGUUUCAGCCGGUCCUACAUCCCAGGAGGAACUACCCAGCUUCCCGGCUCUGUUCUCAGUGCUCAGGAUUAACUGAGGGAUCAAGAAUCCUUGCAGCGCUUGUUUGAGUGAGAUGUGCCCCCUUUUUAUUAGGCUGGGGGUUUUUAUGAUGCUGUGGGCCCCACAGAACCUCCAUUUCCCGCUCUGGGGCCUUCGGGCCGAUAGAGGAGGGAUUUGGGAUUUCCAUGGGUUCGGGUCACCACAUCCUUUGGAAUGUGUGUUUUCCACAGCAGCUCUCAGCAGCUACAGUUGGGCCCAAAAGACCACAGUCUCAAAGCCUCGGUGCCUACUGAUCCCCCUGGGGCAGGCCUCCCCGUGCUGGUGGCCGGCAGGGGGCGGGGGAGCAGGAGAGCCUCACAUUUGAGCGCUUUUCCUCCUGGAUCUGAUUUUGACCUUGUUGCCUGACUGGAGGCUGGAUGGCUUCGACACAGAAGUGGUGGGUGGGGCGGGCACCGUGAGCACACGCUGCGGACUAUCAUUAUGUCGUAUGAAAUCCAGCGACGUUUAAAAAUAAACUCAGGCCGCCAGCGGGUUCGCAUCUCCAUACCCAGUGCCACCCCCGUGGAGGGCCCCAACCGGGAUCUCCUGGGAGCCUCCAAAUUAUCCCCGGGUCUGGUCUUCAGAUUCCUCACCUUACCACUGGGGAAACCGAGGCAGAGAACAUUUAUGUGGUUUGCUUAGGGUAACAGGGCAAGAACAAAGCAGGAGGGCCUUCAGUUUGAUGUGAGAAAGUGUCAUUCUCGGGAGGAGGUGUGUCCGUGAGGGGUGUUUCUCAGGAAACGGAGGACGAGCUCCCGUCAAGGCUUAAGAAGGUCACCCUACUUCAUGCCUCCGGGCAUCCAGGCUGCCCGUCUUGGCUUAUCUUACCUAGGAAUUCACUUUGCCUGCAGUGUGCGCCUCCCACACUGUCCUGCGGGGACCCAGGGAAUGAUUAACUCCCAGGCCUGGCCGUCCCUCUGUCCUGAACACUUUGCAUGCUGUCCGUCUUUCUCCUCUGGAGAUCAAACUCUCUAUCCCUUUCUUGGCUUUCCUUUGAUGCAGGCUUUUCUGGCUGGAAGGAUGUGCUUGUCAGUCACUGUUCUAAGGACCCACGAAGGUCAUUUCGGUCCAGGCUUCUGGAAAAACGGCAACUUUGGAGGAAGGCAACCCAGCCACCGCCCCUUCCUCCACUUUGUUUCCGUGUUUACAUCAUCUCUUUGCAGCAGUUCUGUCCUCUGUAUGAAAAGACGAGCCCUUAUUUUGACAGCUGGGCAGUGUCUUUGAUAUGGGAGAUGUCACUUGGAGAAAAGGGGGGGAUGACAGCAGAUGGGCAGCAGCUGGUCCACACGGCGGUGGCCCCCGAGCCCAGCUGCGGGCGGCUCUGGCGGGACCAGGGAGGGGGGUGCGCUGGUGUCUGUUUGGGGUUUUGCCAGGUUCCCAGGGCUGCAGCCACCAGGCUCUGAUUUGCUAGAACCAGGAGCUCCCCACGGCGGGAAGAGGGAAAGAGAAGGAGCUGAGUGAGAGGGGAGGGCAAGUCAGGAGAGGAGACGGAGCCGACCCGAAGCAAAGGUCCUGAGAUUCCCCUGGUAUAACUCUCCAGGAGCCGGACUGGCUGGGUUGACCAAGAGUCUUUGAUAUGCAAGGAGACCCUGGCCGUCCUCAACCUCUGACAGCUCAGAAUCAAGCUUGUGCGGCACAGGUUGGGUGUUUAAAUUCCCCAUCACAAGACUUGAGCCACAAAUCUUAGGCAGAAGAACAAGUGUACUUUGGAAGGACAGGAGCCAGACCUGAUGCCAGCAGGAGGGAGCAGGCUGGAGGCUCAGCCCGUCUUAACUCUGAGACAUGUCUCCAGGGGCCAAAGACAAAGCAAGAUGGGAACUCCGCCAGCGUUGGAGAACAGAGGUGGGAAUAUGGACUCGGAGGUCCAGAGUGUCCACGAGGGGGCUGUCCACGGAGAACUCCAGUGGCCAUCAGGACCAGGGAAGGGGUAUGGCAUGAACAAGAAAGGGCUGGGCCUAGGAACGGCAGGGAGGGCUCUGAACGGAGAGAACGGGCUUCUAGACCCGAUUACAUAUCGGAGCAAGUAACAACAACUACGGUAAAACCGUGGUUCUGGACCCUGGGUGAAGGCAAGAGAGUCUGUGAUCUAGAAAGUUCUCCUGGAGCCCCUGGCUCUGAGCGUUGUCCGCUCAUCAGCAUAUACACUGAGCUCCUCUCACGGCGGGGCAGGGACCGGAGCCUGCGGGACCCAACAGUGUAAGGUCGGUGUGGCCCCUGCUUCUGCGGCAGAACACGUUAGGGGGUGGGGGAGGGGGUCUGCAGGAAGAGCUGGGAUCCACUGGGAUCCGCCAUCAGCAGGAA